RNAcentral lists this long non-coding RNA (1877 nucleotides) under Homo sapiens (human). RNAcentral's name for it is "HSALNT0000307". Lineage: Eukaryota; Metazoa; Chordata; Mammalia; Primates; Hominidae. The record is from RNAcentral.
AUUUUUUCCCCACCUGAGUUACAAAUUUUUUUUUUUUGAAACAGUCUCGCUCUGUCACCCAGGCUGGAGUGCAGUGGUGCGAUCUUGGCUCACUGCCAGCUCCACCUCUAGGGUUUUUAAGCAAUUCUCUGCCCCAGCCGCCCGAGUAGCUGGGAUUACAGGUGUGCACCACCACGCCCAGCUAAUUUUUUAAACUUUUAGUAGAGAUGGGGUUUCACCAUGCUGGCCAGGAUAGUCUUGAACUCCUGUCCUUCUGAUCCACCCACCUCGACCUCCCAAAGUGCAGGGAUUACAUGUGUGAGCCACUGCGCCUGGCCCCAGCCUGGAAAUAUUUUCUAAUUUCCCAUUUGAGUUCUUCUUUGACCCAUGGUUUAUUCAAUAGUGGGUUAAUUUCCAAACAUUUGAGUUUUUCCUAUUUUAUUUGUGGUUGAUUUCUAAUUUAAUUCCUCUGUGCUCAGAAAGCAUACUUUGUAUGAUUCUUUUAAAAUUCGUUGGAACUUGUUUUAGGACACAGCAGUUGGUCUGUGUUGGAAAAUGUAUCAUGUGCACUUAGGAGUAUUGGCGUAACUUUUUCUUUUUGUUUUUGAGAAGAGUUUUGCUCUUCUUGCCCAGGCUGGGGUGCAGUGGCACGAUCUCGGGUCACUCCGUCUUUUGGGUUCACACCAUUCUCCUGCCUCAGCCUCCCGAGGAGCUGGGAUUACAGCUGCCCGCCACCACGUCCAGCGAAUUUUUGUAUUUUUAGUAUAGAUGGGGUUUCGCCAUGUUGGCUAGGUCGGUCCUGAACUUCUGACCUCAGGUGAUCCACCCGACUCGGGCUCCCAAAGUGCCUGGAUUACAAGCUUGAGCCCCCAUGUGCAGCCUGAUAUGUGUAACUUCCUAUAAAUACCAUUCAGGUCAACAUGAUGAUACUGUUACUCAGAUCCCCCAUGUCUUCACUGAUGUGUUUGGUUUAUUGUUCCAAGAAUCGGAGACAGAGAGGUUAAAAUCUCCGACUAUGAUUGUGGGUUGUCUAUUGAUGUUUUUGGUCUAUUCUAAGAAUCGGAGAGAGAGAGGUUAAAAUCUCCGACUAUGAUUGUGUAUUGUCUAUUGAUGUUUUUGGUCUAUUGUUCUAAGAAAUGGAGAGAGAGAGGUUAAAAUCUCCGACUAUGAUUGUGGGUUGUCUAUUGAUGUUUUUGGUCUAUUGUUCUAAGAAUUGGAGAGAGAGAGGUUAAAAUCUCCGACUAUGAUUGUGGAUUGUCUAUUGCUGUUUUUGGUCUAUUGUUCUAAGAAUCGGAGAGAGAGAGGUUAAAAUCUCCAACUAUGAUUGUGGGUUGUCUAUAUAUGUAUGGUUUUUGCAGUCACUUUCUGCCUACUUGUGUUUUUUAUAUUUAAAGUGCAUCUUUUAGUUCAGUGUGAUGGCACAUGCCCCUAAUCCCAGCUAUUCUGGAGACUGAGGCAGGAGGAUCACUUGAGCCCAGGAGUUUGAGCAGUACUAGACUUUACCUUGGGCAAAAAGGCAAGACCCCAUCUCUUAAAAAACAAAUACAUAGACGGACAGACAGACACACACACCACAGUGCAUCUUUUGUAGACAGCAUGUAGUAAAUCUUGCUAAUUUGUCCAUUUUAGCAAUCUCUGCCUUUUAACUGGAGGGUUUAAUUCAUUAAUAUUUAAUAUAAUUAUCAUUAUGGGUAGAUGUAGGUAUGUUAAUAUUUAAUAUAAUUACUGUUAUGGGUAGAUGUAGGUAUGUUAAUCGUUUUCUGAUUGUCCCUUUGUAUACACACGCUGCCCUUUAUUUUUCAGUGAUUUUAGGUUCAUAGCAAAAUUGAGCAGUUAAGUACAAGGAGUUGUGCCUCCCCGCUGUGCCCACCCAGGCACAGCCUUACCCUCAGCAUCCC